CAAUGAUAGAAGGUUCAAGUAUAACUCAGUUUUUUGGUAAGUAUUUUCAUAUAAAAAAUGUGCGACACUAGCAAAGCAUAUUUGUUUAGUUUUAUAUACUUUUAUUUUACUAUAAAGUAAUAUAAAGCAGUAUAAAUUAGAUUGUUGAUUUAAAACGUGUUAUGCACAUACACAUAUAUAUAUAUAUAUAUAUAUAUAUACACGUUUACACGCGUGUAUACAUUUACUCAUGGUUAACUUUUAUUUUUGUUUUUUUUUUUUUUUUUUAUACGCAGUUUCAAACUUACCAAUUGACGUUACUGAAUGCGAAUUAAAAGAAUUUUUUGGUGCCACUCUCAAUCUUACGUAUAGCAGGUAAAACAAAGCGAAAAAAAAAAAAAAAAAAAAAAAAAAAAUAUAUAUAUAUAUAUAUAUAUAUAUCACGCAUGUUCUAUUAUGUUAUUUUUUUUACAUCGACAUUUUGAUCGAUUGACGGUUUUAUAGACUAAUAAAAACUAAAGUAGGAAUAAGAAGUUGCCAUGGUUAUCUGCACUUCAAAAAUAACAAAGAAGAUGUACUUUUCUUUGUUAAAAGUAAUAAAUAUAAAAAUAAAAACUUGUAUAUCGAGUUAAUUGAAGAUGAGGGAGAGGAUGAUACAGGUUGCGAUGGACAACAAAAACUCGAACUCAAUAAAAAAGAAAUAAAAGAUAAGCAUAAUAUAUAUAGAAGUAGCAGUAGUAGUAAUAGUAUAAAUGAGUUAAUAACAAAAACGUGUAUAAAUUUAGAUAAUAACAAAAACAGUCGGAAUAUGUGUAGUAACAUCAGUAGUAACAUUAAUAAUAAUAAUAAUAUUUUUGAACACAAUUUAAAAAAAAAAUAUAUUUUACAUAAUAUUAAUGAUAAAAACAUACCUAUUGAAAUAAUAAAUAAAAAUGGAAACAUAACAAACUAUGGACAUAAAAUAUUAAAAAACAUGAACAUGUAUGAUAUUGUUCUCUUGAUAUAUAAAUUACAAGAUUUAGUUCGUGCUUCACCUCAAACCGCUAUUGAUAUGUUGAAUGAAAAUAAACAUAUUUAUUACUCUCUUGUUCAUGCUCUUUUUCUUUUGGGUAUUAUAAACAUUAACAUUAGCCCUUUAAGUGACGAAGAAAUUAAGUUAAGUCACUUUUACGAAAUGAAAAGCGCUUUUCAGUAUUUGUUUUUAGAUAGUGACAAUAAUAAUACUGACAAUAACAAUAUUAUAAUAGGAGAUUACAAAUUUAAAAAUGUGGUAGUAGAAUCGAUAAACAAGCUAGGGGUGGACGGAUCGGGAGAGAACAAAAUAAAACAAAGAGUAGAACUUAAACAGGAUGGAACUGUUUUUAAUCCUAAUAAUGCUCAGCCUGGAUUUAAUAAUCACUUAGAUUUUUAUAAGAACAGAAACAAAAAUAAAAAUAAAAAAAGAAGUAGUGACAUAAAAUUUAUAAGUGAUCGUGGAAUGACAUACAUGCGAGAUAGAAAAAGAAAAGUGACUAAAGACAAUAAUAGAAGUGUAGAAACUGUAGAUAUAGAUGCAACCAAAGGUAUAGUAUAUUCUAAUAAUAGUAGUAUAUAUAUGAAGAAGAUAGGUGAUAAUAAUAGUAGUAGCCACUUUAGUAUUCAUAGUAGUAGUAUUGUUAAUUCAAGUAGUAAUAUUAAAUAUGGUAAUAAAAAAAGUAAUAAUAAUAAUAAUAAUAAUAAUAAUAAUAGUAAUAAUAAAAUAGGCCAUAAAACAGGUAAUAAACACAAAGUGGGUAACAGCAAAAUGGGCAAUAAUAAUUUGCACUUAACAAGAUAUAAAAACAUACAAAAAAAUAAUUAUUCAAUAAACAGAAAUAUUAAUUACAGUAAUAAUACUUUUAAUAACCGUGGGAAGGAGUUAUAUUUAUAUAACAAUAAUGCUUAUAUUCAUAAAAAUAAAUUGAAGGCUAAAUAUAAGGAUAAUAAGUAUUGUAUGGAUGAUGAAAAUAAUAAUAUUAACAAUACGAACGAUGGUAAUAUUAACAGCAACCAUAUUAACAGUACGCAUGACAAUAAUGAUAACGUGUUAAGAAAUACAAACUAUAUAUAUAAUUCAAAUAUUAACUCAUACUUUGUUACCGAUAAUAGUAAUGAAAAUAAUGUGAGCAACUUCAGCAUGAACAAUAAUAUGGAUAAUAAUAGUGACAAUAAUAAAACCAUUAACAAUAGUAGCAAUAAUAACAGUGAUGCAUUAUUCAGGCACCCCCAAAAUAGCAAUGUUUAUAUAAAUAAAAAUAGAAAUUAUAAUAAACCCUUUUCGCUUUAUACUAUGCAAUCCAAUAAAAAUAGAAACAAUAGUAGUAACAAUAAAAAUAACAACAUGGGAAACGACAAAAACGACAAAGGAAACGACCAUACCUUACCUUCUAACGUUUUAUCCAAUGAUGACCUUAGUAUGGAUGUAAAUUUGAACAAAACAGUUUCGUCGUAUGACCAAGAAACUACUGCAACAAGUGGUACUAACAUAGAAACAAAUAAAAACAACUUAAAUAUAAAUAAGACAACUGAUAAAAUAUCAACGACAUGGCAUGAAAACAAAAACAAAUGUUAUAGUAACAAAGUAAAUGACGGAAUAGAUUAUGGUAAAAACAUAAAUACGUUAUAUAAACAAGAGUGUUAUAAAAAAAGAAAUUACGAUUGUAUUAAUGAUCAAACUGUUUCUAAUAGUCAUAAUGAUAGUAGCAACAUACGAGUCAAUGCUAACAAUCGAAAAGAAAGAAGCAGUAGCAUUAUUAGUAGUAGUAGUAGUCAUAACAGUUAUAACAAACCGAAUCAAAGUAACAAUAAAAUGCAUCAAAAAAAUGAUAACUUCUUUUCUAGUAAUAACAACAAACAAAUUAUGAAAGAUGGAAAUGAUAAAGAUCAUAUAGAAUACGGGAAAAUGCUAAUAAAAAAAAUAAAAACAAAUAAUAGUAACAAUAGGAGAGAGAUUAAAUUAAUAGAUAGAAAAAAUAAUCAAAAUGCUAAUGGUAAUAAUUUUGUGAUAGUGAAAAAUAUAAAUAUGAAUAAGGAUGGAAAUAAUGGAUGUAACAUUGGUGAUAAUGACACAGAACAAACAAAAAAAAACAAAACACAAAUUGAUAUAAUAGAUACAAAUCUAAAUUUAAUUUUAAAAAAAAUAAACACAAACAUUGAUAAUAUUCCAUAUGCAGAUGAUGAACUAAUAAAAGAAAUAAUAAAUCAAAAACCUAUAUUUCAAAAUAUAAUUAAAAGUAAAUAUUCUGAUAUGUUAACAUGGGACGAAGAUCAAAUACUACGUGUUCUAUCUAUACGGAAGUCAUUGAAAAGCAAGGGUUAUAGUAUUAAUG
This 3326-nucleotide long non-coding RNA is filed under the name Piliocolobus tephrosceles (Ugandan red Colobus). Its description in RNAcentral is "lncRNA (ENSPTEG00000006760.1)". The record is from RNAcentral. Lineage: Eukaryota; Metazoa; Chordata; Mammalia; Primates; Cercopithecidae.